AUUGAACGCUGGCGGCAUGCCUUACACAUGCAAGUCGAACGGUAACAGGUGUUCGGAUGCUGACGAGUGGCGAACGGGUGAUCAAUACAUCGGAACGUGCCUAGUAGUGGGGGAUAACUGCUCGAAAGAGUGGCUAAUCCAGCAUGGUAUCUACGGAUGAAAGCAGGGGAACGCAAGUCCUGGUGCUCCUAGAGCGGCGGAUGGCAGAUUAGGUAGUUGGUGGGAUAAAUGCUUACCAAGCCGACGAUCUGUAGCUGGUCUGAGAGGACGAUCAGCCACACUGGAACUGAGACACGGCCCAGACUCCUACGGGAGGCAGCAGUGGGGAAUUUUGGACAAUGGGCGCAAGCCUGAUCCAGCAAUGCCGCGUGCAGGAUGAAGGCCUUCGAGUUGUAAACUGCUCUUGUACGGAACGAAAAGCCCUGGGUUAAUACCCUGGGGUCAUGACGGUACCGUAAGAAUAAGCACCGGCUAACUACGUGCCAGCCGCCGCCGUAA
Molecule: ribosomal RNA, 498 nt
Filed under: uncultured bacterium
Lineage: Bacteria
Description: partial 16S ribosomal RNA
Rfam family: Bacterial small subunit ribosomal RNA
Source: RNAcentral